GAAGAACUUCAUUGAAUAUUUACAUUAUAGUCAUGGAGUUUUCAAGGUUCCCUCUCAAGAUAUUGGCAAGUGGAGAUAUUUUUACUUCCCUGCUGAUAUUGCCUCUGUGCCAUUUGAGUGCACUUAAUGUAAGAGAGAAACAUUCACAUACCCCAAGGGCUUCCUAUUGACGUGGAAGGAAAGUGAAAGACGGUCAUUGUUGAGACCUAAUCACAACUGCCAAAGGCUUGUCACUUGCAUAGCUUAUAAACAGAUGAAGGAGGAGAAAGCCACACUUCACUCCAUGGUAAGACAGAUCUACUGUUUGAAAAGUUCAAAACCUCAGGGAGUUAAUAUCAGUAGCUGCAGCUGCAAAGUGCCUGACUUGGAGGAAGAAAUUCCAGUGAGAGAUUUUCACCAGACACCCUCACAGGCAUAACUUGAAAGAGCCAUCUAGCUGGCUAUUGAAAGAAGCAGGACUGAAUGGUGAUACCAGUAUGCUGUUCUAAAGCAAGGACAAGUAGCCAUUUAUCUGAUUUAACAGUAGGAGGCAAACUCAUCAUGAAAGACCAGGGAGAUUUUAGGUAGCUCCUUUUUUUCCACUGAACCAUAAUUUCUAAUGUGCCAAAGAGGACAGCCAAAGGGGAUGAAGUCGGACACCUACUGCAUGAACCAGAGAUCAACUCAGCAAAAGGAAAAAAGGAGAAAACACAAUAAGAAAGGGGAGUUGCUGUAGCUGUUGGAAGAGUGGAAAUUUUAUUAUCAUGUACAUAAAGAAAGAAUAAUGUCUUAAGACAGGAGAUGCUACCAAAACAUAAUAUACACACACCUGUUGUUAGCAGUAUUUGAGCACAGGAGGUGCUGGUUCUGAAGUAUCUCGCAGCAUUGCCAAUGAGUGAAAUGAGUGAAUGAGUGAAAUUCCCCAUUAAACUGUUGAAAUCCUGCAAAUUUUCACUGUCACUGCAUGUACCUGGGGGGAAAAGAAUGAUCCAAGAUGUAAAAUUGUCAUUUUGCUGUUGACAAAAAUGUAUUCUUGAGGAUGCUCUGAAUAUGUUACAAGCUGAAUUUAAUUUCUUAACUGUAACUCAGAUGCAAAAAAAGUCACAUUUUAUCUUAUCUUUAUUAAACAAACAGUGUGUUGAAACUGCACUGUUCCAAUGAUCAGCCAAAUGAUAAGAUAGGAGGAAUAGUUAAAAUUCAAAUUCUAAACAGUAGGGUUUGGGGACUGGAAGAAUUAAUGGAUAAUGCUAGUAUUCAGUAAGUAUUAUAGCACCAGAACUUUCCAUAAAUGCAGAACAGUGCUUAGGGUCUUUAAAAUCACUACUGUCAUAAAGAUCAUUUUCAAAACAAAAGAUGUAUAUUCACAAAAAAUUCAAACAGACACAGCUGUAACCCUAUCAACCUUAUCAAGCAACGCAGUCAAAGAGGAAAGAGUUUUUUUCUUUGUUUAGCAAAUUAUCUUAACUUUGCUACCUGUGCUAUAGAAAAUCAUGUACUACAAAAGCAAAUUACAUGCAGUUAUAUCCAGACCUUUCUUUGCCACCUUGUCUUUUAAUGUUGUAUAUUGGUGAACAAAAUUAAAUGCCUAAAAGUAACAGCAAUCUCCUCACUAAGCAGGAGACUUCUUUCUUGCUUUUCUUUUUUUUUGAAUUCAAUUUAAAGUUAUCUGCAGUCUCAUUUUUAAUGCCUGGCUUCUUUAUUUGCAUUCCAGAAAGGCUGUGCCAAAGAGGUCCCCCAAAUUUGUCAGAGUUAACUAUUUCACUAAACUUAAAGCUACCACCUCUGGUGAUUAAUCAAAUUUUGCUCUAAAUAGGAUUAAUUCGGCUGUAUCUGUGAAGAAGAUUGUCAGAGUGCACGUCCCUCUUCUCAUCUGUCCUCGGGUCUUUUUUUCUUGCUGAAUUUAAAAUGAAGCUUGAGCUAUAAUCUUGCAUGGCAGAUACUGGAUCGUUCCUUUGAUAAACAUCUAAAAUGCUAAUGAAUGUGGGCUGCAGUUCUGAAACAGCAAAGCAAACGGUUUGACAAGAAUCUGGAGGGGAAAAGGAAAAAAAGAGAGGAACUUUCUCACUUGAAAGAAAAACUCUUUUUGUUCACAUAGAGUAUUGUUUCCUCAAGAAAAAAUUUUCUGCUCUGCAGAAAACAGAAAAAAUCCUACUACAUCAAAAUGCAGAAGCAUGAAAAACUGAUGAGCUUUCAGAUUGUCCUCUUUUGCAUGCAAAUCAUAUCAGAAGUUCUCAUUAGCAUAAAUGCAUGAGCAACUCUAAAUGCUUUUAAUUUCCAAUCUCAGCCAGCAGAGGAGUAAUUUGUCACUGUCAGGGUGAAAAUCUAAAAAGAAAAAAAAAAGAGAGAAGGACUCCAUGCUAAAUUGGAAUCAUAUAAAUUUUUGAUUUGCUAAUUGACUGAUGCUGCAGUUCAAUCAGCUGCCUUGAAGGUGUAAAUAAUUCAGCGUACAGUCAGAAAUAAAAGCAUAAUGUGCUUCUACUGAAGGCGUAUUAGCAUUCACUGCACCAGGACACACCUGACCAUGUCUUUUUCAUAGGUACCCUUUAGUCAUGUUCAAACUCUAUGCUGUUAAGUGCACUACGCUAACAAACAAUCCUACCACUGGAAAUACUGCUUUCGUAUUAAGAAACAUGCUACAAGAGAUAGUUUAAAAUAUUUUCACUGCAACUAAUCCAGUGAGCCAGUCCUAAUACUUGCUGGAAUUGUGGAAUAUAUUUGUAUGACACUAAUGCAAUUACAAAACACAGAAAGUGCAUAAAUUGAAAUCCAACACUUCUAUCAACUUUUAAUUAUCUCUUUCCCUUAAUCAACUGCUUUAAAUGUCAUAUGCAAAGUGUAUUUCUUGCAAAAAUGCUUCUCAUUAAUGUGCAUACACUAAGGGUGUGUUUGUAUCUGUAUAGGUGGUUGCAAUAACGUGUGGUUUGAAAUAUAGGAAUGAUAUUUGGAUCACUUUGUAGUAUUUGUUUAAAUAUUUAUUUAUUUAUUUAUUUUGCAAGAUACUGCUUAAGUAAAAUCUAUGUUCAACAGAAUAGCUGUUUUCUCCUUACCUAAAUCAAAUUAGAUUAAUAGCCAUCUCAUAUAUUUGUAAUGUAAUUACUCUUCCAAAGACAUAAAUGAAUAAGUAACAAAAAGUACCCUGAAUAUACAAAAACCCUCCUAUGGAACAUAGAUGAAGAAAAGAUCCUGUUUAUAGUUUACCCGAUGCAUUAAGUUUCGUUUACCAGAUGCAUUAAGUAAAUCAUUAAUGUCUUGUCUGAUGGACUGCUGGAUAUGAAAAUCAAGCAUGGCUGCACUGACUCACAAAAUGAAUGCUUAGUUGUGAAUUACAUUUUGCACAAAAUCUGAUUGUACUGUUUUGUUGAUGUAGCACAAAAAUUAGCAGAAAAUCUCAUCUGAUCUUUAGAUAUGUCAUCAAACCUGUUUUCUCUGUCUCUAUCCCUCCAAAAAUAUAUUUAAAAUGUACUGUUCUUAAAAGGUUUGUUUAAACAAUUUGUAUGAACUCCUUAUCCCAGGCGAAGAGCAGCUUUAAUUGCCAGUAGCAGUCUUGCAAUGCUCUUUUGCAAGGGAAAUCUGGGUUUCUGAUAAUGAUAGGUUUAUGCCAAGUUCCCUAGUGUUUUCAAUGGAGAUUUAAUCUGAAUAGUCUGUAGGAUUAGGUUCCAAGUCAUACAGUUUGAUUCAGCAUUUGAUUCUGCUUCCAGUGAAAUCAAUGACAGCCUUGAUUCAGUCAUUUACACCUUUUAUUUGCCAUAAAUCGCACAUCUCCUUUUAAGAUAGUGUUAAAAUGCGAACAAUAGCCAAGUAGUGGGAAUACAUGAAAUAUAAUGAACAGAAUAGAAGCAGUAAGAAUUCAGUUUUCUAAAGGACAGUUUCUGCUUAGUCUGAUA
RNAcentral lists this long non-coding RNA (3863 nucleotides) under Gallus gallus (chicken). Lineage: Eukaryota; Metazoa; Chordata; Aves; Galliformes; Phasianidae. The record is from RNAcentral.